CAGCAGCCGCCGCGGGAAUACGAGGGGGGCUAGCGUUGUUCGGAAUUAUUGGGCGUAAAGGGUGCGUAGGCGGUUUGGCAAGUCUUAUGUGAAAUCUUCGGGCUCAACCCGAAGUCUGCAUGAGAAACUGCCGGGCUUGAGUAUGGGAGAGGUGGGUGGAAUUUCCGGUGUAGCGGUGAAAUGCGUAGAUAUCGGAAGGAACGCCUGUGGCGAAAGCGGCUCACUGGACCAUAACUGACGCUGAGGCACGAAAGCUAGGGGAGCAAACAGGAUUAGAUACCCGCGUAGUCCCUGUCUCUUAUAU
RNAcentral lists this ribosomal RNA (304 nucleotides) under uncultured bacterium. RNAcentral describes it as "partial 16S ribosomal RNA". It matches the Rfam family "Bacterial small subunit ribosomal RNA", at positions 506 to 809 of the family's 1533-position model. The record is from RNAcentral.